This 253-nucleotide ribosomal RNA is filed under the name uncultured bacterium. Its description in RNAcentral is "partial 16S ribosomal RNA". It matches the Rfam family "Bacterial small subunit ribosomal RNA", at positions 524 to 776 of the family's 1533-position model. The record is from RNAcentral.
UACGUAGGGUGCGAGCGUUAAUCGGAAUUACUGGGCGUAAAGCGUGCGCAGGCGGUCAGUUAAGUUCGUUGUGAAAGCCCCGGGCUCAACCUGGGAACUGCAAUGGAAACUGGCGGGCUUGAGUGUGGCAGAGGGGGGUGGAAUUCCGCGUGUAGCAGUGAAAUGCGUAGAGAUGCGGAGGAACACCGAUGGCGAAGGCAGCCCCCUGGGCCAACACUGACGCUCAGGCACGAAAGCGUGGGGAGCAAACAGG